GCCAGGUGCGGUGGCCCACACCUGUAAUCCCAGCACUUUGGGAGGCCGAGGUGGGUGGAUCACCUGAGGUCAGGAGUUUGAGACCAGCCUGGCCAACAUGGUGAAACCCCAUCUCUA
RNAcentral lists this small RNA (117 nucleotides) under Cercocebus atys (sooty mangabey). RNAcentral's name for it is "Metazoan signal recognition particle RNA". Lineage: Eukaryota; Metazoa; Chordata; Mammalia; Primates; Cercopithecidae. The record is from Rfam by way of RNAcentral. RNAcentral also lists the same sequence under 2 other names.